CCUACGGGUGGCAGCAGUGGGGAAUAUUGGGCAAUGGACGCAAGUCUGACCCAGCAACGCCGCGUGAAGGAAGAAGGCUUUCGGGUUGUAAACUUCUUUUAAGGGGGAAGAGCAGAAGACGGUACCCCUUGAAUAAGCCACGGCUAACUACGUGCCAGCAGCCGCGGUAAUACGUAGGUGGCAAGCGUUGUCCGGAUUUACUGGGUGUAAAGGGCGUGCAGCCGGAGAGACAAGUCAGUUGUGAAAUACACGGGCUCAACCCGUGAACUGCAUUUGAUACUGUUUCCCUUGAGAGUCGGAGAGGUAAUCGGAAUGUGUAGUGUAGCGGUGAAAUGCGUAGAUAUAAGGCAGAACACCAGUGGCGAAGGCAGAUUACUGGACGAUAACUGACGGUGAGGCGCGAAAGCGUGGGGAGCGAACAGGAUUAGAUACCCGUGUAGUC
Molecule: ribosomal RNA, 442 nt
Filed under: uncultured bacterium
Lineage: Bacteria
Description: partial 16S ribosomal RNA
Rfam family: Bacterial small subunit ribosomal RNA
Source: RNAcentral